UCUGAACUUUUCACCAGUAAUUUAAAAAAUCUCAAUUAUUCCACAUUUUUAACUGGUAAUUAAAAAAAAAAAAUCUUAAUUAUUCCAAACUUUUCACCAGUAAUUAAAAAAAAUCUAAAUUUUUCCAAUUCUUUUACCAGUAAUGAAAAAAAUCUCAAUUAUUCCAAACUUUUCACUGGUAAUUAAAAAAUCUCUUUUGCUCAUUUUCUUCAGUGUUUUACAGAUUAAAAAGUCGCACCUUUGGACCAGGCAAUCCGUAACCAGUCUCUCCCAUCGGUCCGGGAGGACCCGUGGGACCCACAUCACCCUGAAGGCAAAAGGAGAUGAGUGGGCCUUCCUGCCUGUAGGGUGUGGCACAGCGGUAGUAGCUUGGCUUUCUUACCUUUGGUCCUGCAAGAGCACGUCCAGGCAGACCUGGCUCGCCUAUUCCUGGUGGACCCGGAGGACCUGCUCUCCCCUGAAAUCCCAUAUCUCCCUGCAGAUGGAUUAGAGUGAACAAUUCAAGAGUAAGAGUAAGAAAUAUAAAAUAUGACAUCAUAUCUGAGAAUCACCACAACCAUUACUAUCUAUGUCAAGUUUUUUUUUUUUUUUUUUAAUGCACAUACACAAUGAUAUUAUAGAGGAAUAAAAUGCAAAUAAAUGUCAGUUGUGACUCUAUAUCAAUCAAUAUGUCUUAGAUGAUGUCUGAUGAUAUAUAAAUUCUAAGUUUUAUGAUCAAAGCUCUGUAGCUUUAGGGGCAAAACAUAAAAUGCAAUGCAAUACAAUGAUGAUUGAGAGAACAAAUAAAUGUUCGUCAAAGGCCUGAUGAUCAUAUUUGAUGAUGACAUUUGAACAAAAAAUGCUGUGUGGAUAAUCAUGUAAACCUAAGUUGCUUCAGUCUAUUAAAUGUUCAUCUAUAAAUAUUUCAACUUUUUAAAAAUAAGUAAAGAUUUCACAGCAAAAAGACAUGAAGGGGGAACCCAUCCUAAUACAGCCUAAGCAAGCAAGCAAACAAAUUUUAUUUAUAUAGCACUUUUCUAAACAAAUUAAAAGUGCCAUAGAAUGCUUUUUCGUGUAAUAUAAGUCUAAGGUGUCCCCUGAAUGUUUCAGCUUAAAAUACCCUAUACAUUUUUUUUUAUUCAGUUUUUUUUGGGGGCAUAAUUAUAAAUGCGCUGAUCCAGUGCGUGUCCCCAUUAAACACUCACGC
This is a long non-coding RNA of Megalobrama amblycephala (Wuchang bream), 1186 nucleotides long. RefSeq lists it as uncharacterized. The record is from RefSeq and is a predicted model, not a curated record. Lineage: Eukaryota; Metazoa; Chordata; Actinopteri; Cypriniformes; Xenocyprididae. The transcript is spliced from 3 exons.